UUAGGGAACGCUUGCAAUUUGAAAUAGUUUCACUGCGCAUUUGCGAUAUGUUAAACAAUCCAGCGUGACGCGAUCUUUGUUCAGCGGAACUAGACUUGUGAUUUUUAAAUUAUAUUAUAUGGAAUAACGUGAAAAGAAAACAUCAGCGAAAUAUCAGCGGAACCAUUUUCGAGGAUUAGAAAAUACAUCGCGAUAUACGAAAACUUGAAAAACGUUACUGCGAAUGAAAAUCUGGAAUACAGUCUAAACGAAUCACGCAUGCGCAACGGAUCAGUCAGCAUUCGAUAUUGACCUCAUAACGUAUUUUCUAUACGUAAAAUCCGUUCAGUGAAGAUAUAACUUUGAUUCAAAGAUCUCAGUUUUUUCCUUUGUUCUAUUAAAAUAUGUUGAAGUGCCCGUGGUUGAUAUUAGUUAGCGAAUUAUUAAUUAUCGGAUACAGUGCGACAAAUACGUCGUUAACUGUAACGCCUCUUAGUGGAAAUAAUUCAGCAAGGGAGAUGGCGACCGGUUUACCAAUAUUCUUGAACGAAGCCAGAGUAUCGCAACUACUAGACGGACAAUGGUUACCCCUGAUCGAUGCUAUGCACCAAGCUCUCUUGGCGUCAGCUUUGAAACAUGCUGUACCACCUCUGAGAUCUUUUACACCCAUCAGAGACGAGGGGAUCAUGUUAACCAUGCCCGGCUACGUUGACUUCAAUAAUGAUGUCCACGAAGGCGAGCCCGUGUUGGCAUGCAAAGUAGUGACUAGUUUCACAGGGAAUUCCGAAAGAGAAAAUCCGCUGCCUAAUAUUUUGGGCACUAUACUUCUCUUCGAUGUCACCAGCGGAAAGCUAACUUGUGUAUUGGAAGCCACGGAAAUAACAGCCAGGAGAACAGCGGCAGCUUCUGUAGCGGCCACGAAUAUUUUGUACAAAAAGAGACACUCAUUGUCAAACAGUUCCGAUGAGCCGAUCGUUCUCGGUAUAUUCGGAGCCGGAGUACAGGGGAAAAAUCACGCAUUGGCCUUUCAUGCUGCUUACUCAAAUAUAUCAGAGAUCCGCAUUUGGAAUCAUCGGCUGCCCAAGGCGGAACGUUUAGUUGCAGAGUUGAAAACCCUCGGCAUUAAUCAGGCGCGGGUAGCUCGUACCGGAAGAGAAUGCGCCGAAGGAGCGGACAUCUUAGUUACGGCGACUUCUUCCUCCGAACCAAUCCUCUUCGACGAGUGGGUCAAAAAUGGCGCCCACAUCAACGCUGUCGGCAGCGGUCGUUUUCAUUACUGUGAACUGGAUUUACCGCUCUACCGAAGGGUCAAAAUCUAUUUGGACAACGAGUCAAGCGGCCGCAACGAAUUGCGGGGGCUCGUGGUCCAGGGCAUUUCUUUGAUCACCUCCGUAGGUAACGUUUUCCUCGAACCGAAUCUGAUGCCGGGAAAACAGGAUAUCACGGUCUUCCAUUCGAUCGGCAUGGCUGCCGAAGACGCUCUGGCAGCUCAGCUUGUCUACAAACGACAUUUGCUUUCUCGGCCUUCGAACUGAUCAGGUUUUCAAUUCGUUUUAUUAGGCGAAAGAAGAUUCGACGAAUUCUAAAGCUGUUCGGAACACGUGAUCCUUUUGGCAUGGUUUUACAUAUCAGAGCUGAGCGAUCCUCGCACCGUCAGACCGAACGUUCAGCCUGAAACAAAGGAUCGAGCAAAUGUGUGAUUUCGGCAUCGAACGUCCAUCAUAAUCAACGCACAAAGCGACCCGUGGGACGAAUGAUCGCAGAGCGAGUGGAUCCCGCGGAUCAUUUUCAGGAAAUGAGAAGGAACGAUCCCAACGCCCAUUCAUCCUUCCGUCGAGAUCAAAGCGAAGAGUCGUAAGAAUAUUAGAUCGCUAUGGAAGCUCUCAAGAUCCCUGGCGGAAUUUUAGUUAGCACGAUUAGCGAACGCAGAUAUUCCAAGACAUACUUAACUCUGGUCUGAAGAGCCUGGAAACUGAUUGAAGACUGCUGCAGGAGCUGAUUGAAACCUGACGCACGUCGGUUCGUUAACCCAACUGGUAGCAAUGUUGGCCUGGAGCUAACGAGAUCAAUUCUCAGGACGGGGAAAUUACAGGCUGAGUAACGAAGUCGAGGCGAGAAGGCCAGGAGACAUGAUACCGGAAAUUAAGAGUAUAUUGGAACUGGGAACCAUCAACGGUCCAGAUGAGAGGGUGAACCCUUUAUAUUUCCCGGGGAUUGCCAAAUUUCCAUUCAAGAGGAUUUUAAUGUCGAGGCAAGAGCAAAUUGGAAGGAAAUGUGCGAGCUAGGGUUGGCUGCGCUGGACCGUAUGCUGCAUAGGUUCGCCGACUCUGAACAGUACGAGAUCACUGAAAAAUUGAUUCUAGUAUUAUCUGAACUGGAUUAAAGCCCAACAAAAAAAAAAAACUGAAGGCGUUUACCUUGCUUUUUCUUCGACCUUGGAGCCAGAAUCUUUUCAUCUUCGAAUCGAUUGAAAUCAACAUUGCCAGUCUAAUUGGAUUACGAGGACCACAGAAAAGGGGUUCCAAAUAUUGGAGAACCGACAUUCCAGUACAUACAAAAAAUGCAAAGAAUUUAAUUUAUUUAUAUGUUGAUUUUAUGUCAGGUUACAUCAAAUAAGAACAAUCCAUAUCUAGUCCUGCAAAAGAGCUUUGCACCUCUACGUGGACCAAAACUUGAUCUAUACUGAUAAACUACAAUAAUAGCUAUCUGAUACAGAUGCAGAUUGCACUCCUUUCACCUCGUAUGAUUGUCAGACGUGAUACGUUAUGUAAGAUGAUUUUUAAGCAUUUCGUUUGUGUUUGACUUGUAUACUCUUAGGCACCUUGUGGAGUUACUAUACACUGAAACCCGAUCGCUUGUACUAGAAUUAAGGUGUACUUGAUAAACUAAUAAAAAAAUUUGAAUUCUA
This 2887-nucleotide unclassified non-coding RNA is filed under the name Neodiprion lecontei (redheaded pine sawfly). RNAcentral's name for it is "ketimine reductase mu-crystallin, transcript variant X3". Lineage: Eukaryota; Metazoa; Arthropoda; Insecta; Hymenoptera; Diprionidae. The record is from RNAcentral.